RNAcentral lists this ribosomal RNA (444 nucleotides) under uncultured soil bacterium. RNAcentral describes it as "bacterial SSU rRNA". It matches the Rfam family "Bacterial small subunit ribosomal RNA", at positions 26 to 454 of the family's 1533-position model. The record is from RNAcentral.
AGAAUCAACGCUGGCGGCGUGCCUAACACAUGCAAGUCGAACGCGAAGUGGAGCAAUCCAUUAGUAGAGUGGCAAACGGGUGAGUAACACGUGGGCGACCUACCUCAGAGUGGGGGAUAACCUUCCGAAAGGAGGGCUAAUACCGCAUGACAUCCCGUGUUUGGAUACACGGAGAUCAAAGCCGGGGACCGCAAGACCUGGCGCUUGGAGAGGGGCCCGCGUCCGAUUAGCUAGUUGGUGAGGUAACGGCUCACCAAGGCCUCCGAUCGGUAUCCGGCCUGAGACGGGCGGACGGACACGACUGGAACUGAGACACGGUCCAGACUCCUAACGGGAGGCAGCAGGUGGGAAUUGUCCGACAAUGGGCGCAAGGCCUGAGACGCAACGCCGACGUGGAGAUGAAGUAAUUUCGUCGUAAACUCCUUCGACCGAGUAUGACACCCG